Molecule: long non-coding RNA, 573 nt
Filed under: Lynx canadensis (Canada lynx)
Lineage: Eukaryota; Metazoa; Chordata; Mammalia; Carnivora; Felidae
Description: lncRNA (ENSLCNG00005009910.1)
Source: RNAcentral
CCGGUAAGUAAGAAACAGAAACAGCUUUUAAACUAUUUAGGAGACUGUCUUUGGUCAAACUUGAAUAAUGAACAUCCUUCUUAUUAAGAUGCUGCUUCCUCAUUGGUUUAUGUUGAAACACAAGUGUAAUUUCCUGUCCCCUCACAGUGUUGGUUUCUCAUCUCAGUGCAAGCAGAUUUAUCUGGCUCCUCGGUCGACAAAAUCAUCUCCUCAAGAAACAUGGGAUCCAGAGUCUGCUGGAGGAGACCCACUUUCUGUUGUUAUCAUGUCCUUCAGAUGAGUAGAGGGUGCGGAGUGAGGAAAAGGAGAAGAGGAAUCAUGCCUUGAUGCAUUGAAUGGAGUGACAUCCAAGCACUUCACAAGAGAUUGGCAGCAAGAUGGCAGACUGGGACACCAAGCAGAUGGGACAAAUUCCCAUAAUUCCAGUACCUCCAAGAGGGCUUUCUGUUGUCCUUCAACAGAUUUCCAAUGGUCCCCAUUUCUCUCCCUCUCUGAACUAAAAAACAAAACAAAAACCAAAGACCAACAGCCUCUGAAGCAGACUAACUCUGGCAGUCAUGAAUCAGACAGGGU